AGAGUUUGAUCCUGGCUCAGGAUGAACGCUAGCGGCAGGCCUAACACAUGCAAGUCGAGGGGCAGCGGGAAAAGUACUUGUACUUUUUGCCGGCGACCGGCGCACGGGUGCGUAACGCGUAUACAACCUACCUUUAACAGGGGGAUAAUCCGAAGAAAUUUGGUCUAAUACCCCAUAAUAUUUGAGACGGCAUCGUUUCGAGUUGAAAACUCCGGUGGUUAAAGAUGGGUAUGCGUUGUAUUAGUUAGUUGGUAAGGUAACGGCUUACCAAGACUAUGAUACAUAGGGGGACUGAGAGGUUAACCCCCCACACUGGUACUGAGACACGGACCAGACUCCUACGGGAGGCAGCAGUGAGGAAUAUUGGUCAAUGGACGCAAGUCUGAACCAGCCAUGCCGCGUGCAGGAUGACGGCUCUAUGAGUUGUAAACUGCUUUUGUACAGGGGGUAAACUUGGAUACGUGUAUCCAACUGAAAGUACUGUACGAAAUAAAGGAUCGGCUAAACUCCGUGCCAAGCAGCCCGCGGUAAAUACGGGAGGGAUUUCAAGGCGUUUAUCCGGAUUUAUUGGGUUUUAAAGGGGUGCGUAGGGCGGUUUGAUAAGUUAGGGGUGAAAUACCGGGGCUCAACCUCGGAACUGCCUCUAAUACUGUUGAACUAGAGAAUAGUUGCUGUUGGCGGGAAUGUGUAGUGUAGCGGUGAAAUGCUUAGAUAUUACACAGAACACCGAUUGCGAAGGCAGCUGACAAAGCUAUUUCUGACGCUGAGGCACGAAAGCGUGGGGAGCGAACAGGAUUAGAUACCCUGGUAGUCCACGCAGUAAACGAUGAUAACUCGUUGCAGGCGAUACACAGUCUGUGACUUAGCGAAAGCGUUAAGUUAUCCACCUGGGGAGUACGUUCGCAAGAAUGAAACUCAAAGGAAUUGACGGGGGGGCCCGCACAAGCGGAGGAACAUGUGGUUUAAUUCGAUGAUACGCGAGGAACCUUACCCGGGCUUGAAAGUUAGUGACAGACCAAGAAAUUGGUUCUUCCUUCGGGACACGAAACUAGGUGCUGCAUGGUUGUCGUCAGCUCGUGCCGUGAGGUGUCGGGUUAAGUCCCAUAACGAGCGCAACCCCUACUGUUAGUUGCCAUCGAGUAAUGUCGGGAACUCUAACAGGACUGCCGGUGUAAACCGCGAGGAAGGUGGGGAUGACGUCAAAUCAGCACGGCCCUUACGUCCGGGGCGACACACGUGUUACAAUGGUCGGUACAGAGGGCAGCUACCUGGUGACAGGAUGCAAAUCUCGAAAGCCGAUCUCAGUUCGGAUUGGAGGCUGAAACUCGCCUCCAUGAAGUUGGAUUCGCUAGUAAUCGCGCAUCAGCCAUGGCGCGGUGAAUAAAUCACUAGUGAAUUCGCGGCCGCCUGCAGGUCGACCAUAUGGGAGAGCUCCC
This 1436-nucleotide ribosomal RNA is filed under the name uncultured bacterium. Its description in RNAcentral is "partial 16S ribosomal RNA". It matches the Rfam family "Bacterial small subunit ribosomal RNA". The record is from RNAcentral.